RNAcentral lists this ribosomal RNA (443 nucleotides) under uncultured bacterium. Its description in RNAcentral is "partial 16S ribosomal RNA". It matches the Rfam family "Bacterial small subunit ribosomal RNA", at positions 338 to 795 of the family's 1533-position model. The record is from RNAcentral.
CCUACGGGUGGCAGCAGUGGGGAAUAUUGGGCAAUGGAGGAAACUCUGACCCAGCAACGCCGCGUGAAUGAUGACGGUCUUCGGAUUGGUAAGUUCUUUUCUUAGGGGAGAAGAAUGUGACGGUAGCUUAGGAAUAAGCCUCGGCUAACGACGUGCAAGCAGCCGCGGUAAUACGGCGGAGGCGAGAGUUAUCCGGAAUGAAGGGGCGUAAAGGGUGCGUAGGUGGUUUGGGAAGUUAGUAGCGUAACUACAGGGCUCAACCUUGGAACUACUACUAAAACUGGUGGACUUGAGUGCAGGAGGGGUAACCGGAAUUCCUGGUGUAGCGGUGGAAUGCGUAGAUAUUAGGAGGAACACCAGUGGCGAAGGCGGGUUGCUAGACUGUAACUGACACUGAGGCACGAAAGCGUGGGGAGCAAACAGGAUUAGAUACCCUAGUAGUC